GGUCAUCUUGUUAUCCCAUUUCUAGAAUUCAUUAAAUCUCUCACCCUAUAUAUGCCCCUACCCUUUGCAUAUAGCAGUGGUACAAUAACACAGAGAGAAAUGGCCGGAUCAGUUAAAGCCCUCUUCUUCUUAGUUCUCGUCCUGUGCUCUACUUUAUUAGUCUAUGCAGCAAGACCAGAACCAGCUUUUUCAGCAGUCAAUUAUGCAAAAACCCGACUCGAGGGUGUUGAAACAGAACAGGUUGAUGAGGUGAUGGGUGAGAGCUGUGAAGGAGUUACAGAGGAGGAGUGCUUGAUGAGAAGGACUCUGGCUGCUCAUGUCGAUUACAUCUAUACACAGAAGCAUAAUCCUUGAAGUUUCUUUGUUAACUACAUGUAUUGUGAUUAUGUACUGAAUAUGUACGAAAUACUUGUUUGUAAUAACAAGAAAUAUUCUUAGCAGUUUAGCUGAUAUUAUAAUUAAAGUAUCCCGUGCUUUCUUUGUCUUU
Long non-coding RNA from Malus domestica (apple), 487 nucleotides. RefSeq lists it as uncharacterized. NCBI's taxonomy places the organism in Eukaryota, Viridiplantae, Streptophyta, Magnoliopsida, Rosales, Rosaceae. The record is from RefSeq and is a predicted model, not a curated record.